CCGGCCCCCAGGAGGGUACGUCACCUCAGCCAUUGAACUCACUUUGCUGGCCGUGAGUCUAUUCCAA
Molecule: non-coding RNA, 67 nt
Organism: Callorhinus ursinus (northern fur seal)
Lineage: Eukaryota; Metazoa; Chordata; Mammalia; Carnivora; Otariidae
Source: RefSeq, a predicted model, not a curated record